This 305-nucleotide ribosomal RNA is filed under the name uncultured bacterium. RNAcentral's name for it is "bacterial SSU rRNA". It matches the Rfam family "Bacterial small subunit ribosomal RNA", at positions 337 to 659 of the family's 1533-position model. The record is from RNAcentral.
GCCUACGGGGGGCAGCAGUGGGGAAUAUUACACAAUGGGGGAAACCCUGAUGCAGCGACGCCGCGUGAGUGAAGAAGUAUUUCGGUAUGUAAAGCUCUAUCAGCAGGGAAGAUAAUGACGGUACCUGACUAAGAAGCCCCGGCUAACUACGUGCCAGCAGCCGCGGUAAUACGUAUGGAGCAAGCGUUAUCCGGAUUUACUGGGUGUAAAGGGAGAGUAGGUGGCAGAGCAAGUCCGAAGUGAAAACCCAAAGCUCAACUAUGGGAAUGCUUUAGAAACUGCUCAGCUAGAGUGCAGGAGAGGCA